UACGGGAGGCAGCAGUGGGGAAUAUUGCACAAUGGGCGCAAGCCUGAUGCAGCCAUGCCGCGUGUAUGAAGAAGGCCUUCGGGUUGUAAAGUACUUUUCAGUCGUGAGGAAGGUGUUAAGGUUAAUAACCUUAGCAAUUGACGUUAGCGACAGAAGAAGCACCGGCUAACUCCGUGCCAGCAGCCGCGGUAAUACGGAGGGUGCGAGCGUUAAUCGGAAUUACUGGGCGUAAAGGGCACGCAGGCGGUUAAUUAAGUUGGAUGUGAAAUCCCCGGGCUUAACCUGGGAAUGGCAUUCAAGACUGGUUAGCUAGAGUCUUGUAGAGGGGGUAGAAUUCCAUGUGUAGCGGUGAAAUGCGUAGAGAUGUGGAGGAAUACCGGUGGCGAAGGCGGCCCCUGGACAAAGGACUGACGCUCAUGUGCGAAAGCGUGGGGAGCAAAC
RNAcentral lists this ribosomal RNA (441 nucleotides) under uncultured bacterium. RNAcentral's name for it is "bacterial SSU rRNA". It matches the Rfam family "Bacterial small subunit ribosomal RNA", at positions 340 to 773 of the family's 1533-position model. The record is from RNAcentral.